UGAGAUGGGGGAAAAGGAGCAAAGAUUUGAAGGGUAAGGGGGUUUGACCUGCUGCCGUGGGCUUUGAAGAUGAGGAAGGGGGCCAUGAGCCAAGGAAUGCAGGUGCCUCCAGAGGCUGGAAACUGCCCUCAGCUGACAGCCAGCAGGGAAACGGAGACGCCAGUCCUACAACCUCAGGGAAAUAAAAUCUGCCAACAACCCGAGUGAGGAGGAAACGGAUCCUCCCCCAUGGCUUCCAGAAAGGAACACAGCCUGCGGACGCCUGUUUAAGGGGGGUGAGCCCCGUGUUGGACUUCUGGCCUCCAGGACUGGCGCUGUGCGUGGCCGAGGGUCCACCGUGGAUGACCGGGGGCUCUGCUGUGGACAGUGAGUGACCACCAUGGACAAGUGUGUGUUUGUCUGUGGACACGGUCGUUCCCCUGUCCCCUGACUGCCCCCCACUUGUUACCGGGAGGUCUGGAGGUUGGGUGGGGCCUGUCCUGCCUCCCUCAGCCCCUGCUCCUUCUCUCUGAACCUCUGGUGUCGGAGCCCACAGAGUCCUCCAAAGGAUGUGGGUCUCAUGGGAGCUGCAGGGGGCCCCCAAGCUGGGACCCUGCUGACCUCAUGACCUUUAGAAAUGGAUGGACAGCCUCAACUCAGACGGAAGAUUCACUCCUGAACCAGAUUGUCGCUGAGAUAACAUCUGUGCCCAUCUUCCUCUAUUUUUUGUGGGACACCGCCUCAGCAUGGCUUGACAAGCGGUGCUAGAUCUGUGCCCGGGAUCUGAACCUGUGAACCCCGGGCCACCGAAGGGGAGCACGUGAACUUAACCACUAUGCCACUGGGCCAGCCCCUCGAUGAAUUUUUAAGUUGCAUCCAUGGCAAUUGAACACAAGACCACAUCUCGUCAAUCCGAGUAAAUGCUCACGCAGUAUCCAGAAAUCU
RNAcentral lists this long non-coding RNA (924 nucleotides) under Equus caballus (horse). RNAcentral's name for it is "lncRNA (ENSECAG00000046404.1)". The record is from RNAcentral. Lineage: Eukaryota; Metazoa; Chordata; Mammalia; Perissodactyla; Equidae.